RNAcentral lists this ribosomal RNA (423 nucleotides) under Aplysia nigrocincta. RNAcentral describes it as "partial 16S ribosomal RNA". It matches the Rfam family "Archaeal large subunit ribosomal RNA", at positions 1908 to 2665 of the family's 2987-position model. The record is from RNAcentral. Lineage: Eukaryota; Metazoa; Mollusca; Gastropoda; Aplysiida; Aplysiidae.
AGCUUAGGGAAAUCAUCCUAGGUGAAACCUGCCCGGUGACUAGAUUUUAACGGCCGCGGUACUUUGACCGUGCUAAGGUAGCGUAAUCAGUUGACUUUUAAAUGAAGUCUUGUAUGAAUGGAUUUAUGGGAUUAAGCUGUCUCUUCUAUAUUCUAUUGAAAUUACUAAUUAGGUGAAAAGGCCUAAGAAUGAAAAAAGACGAGAAGACCCUUAGAGUUUUAAUAAAGGUUUUUGUUGGGGCGACAAGAAGACAUAUAUAUAACUCUUCUAUUAGAAAACAUCUUGCCGGUUCUUUUAAGUAUGAAUAAACUACCUUAGGGAUAACAGCAUAAUCCAGAUUUGGGUUUGUGACCUCGAUGUUGGACUAGGAAAAUUAUGCCCUAGCAGGGUAUAUAUUUAGGUUCUGUUCGAACUUUUCUUCCU